Molecule: ribosomal RNA, 253 nt
Filed under: uncultured bacterium
Lineage: Bacteria
Description: partial 16S ribosomal RNA
Rfam family: Bacterial small subunit ribosomal RNA
Source: RNAcentral
UACGUAGGGCGCAAGCGUUGUCCGGAAUUAUUGGGCGUAAAGAGCUCGUAGGCGGCUUGUCACGUCGGAUGUGAAAGCCCGGGGCUUAACCCCGGGUCUGCAUUCGAUACGGGCAGGCUAGAGUGUGGUAGGGGAGAUCGGAAUUCCUGGUGUAGCGGUGAAAUGCGCAGAUAUCAGGAGGAACACCGAUGGCGAAGGCAGGUCUCUGGGCAUUAACUGACGCUGAGGAGCGAAAGCAUGGGGAGCGAACAGG